UCCCUGGUGGUCCAGUGGUUAGGACUCCAUGCUUUCACUGGUGGGGCCCGGGUUCAAUCUCCGGUCAGGGAA
Non-coding RNA from Balaenoptera acutorostrata (minke whale), 72 nucleotides. The record is from the annotation of a RefSeq genome assembly. Lineage: Eukaryota; Metazoa; Chordata; Mammalia; Artiodactyla; Balaenopteridae.